Acanthosepion pharaonis is the source of this 112-nucleotide non-coding RNA. NCBI's taxonomy places the organism in Eukaryota, Metazoa, Mollusca, Cephalopoda, Sepiida, Sepiidae. The record is from the annotation of a GenBank genome assembly.
UAUGGCCAUAUGAAAUUGAAACACUAGUUCUUAUACAAUCACUGAAGUUAAGCAAUAUCGAGCCUGGUCAGUACCUAGAUGGGUGACUGCUUGGAAAUACUGGGUGCUGUAU